Molecule: non-coding RNA, 185 nt
Filed under: Ureibacillus sinduriensis
Lineage: Bacteria; Bacillati; Bacillota; Bacilli; Caryophanales; Caryophanaceae
Also listed under: 1 other name
Description: Lysinibacillus sinduriensis Lysine sequence
Rfam family: Lysine riboswitch aptamer
About the family: Riboswitches are metabolite binding domains within certain messenger RNAs that serve as precision sensors for their corresponding targets. Allosteric rearrangement of mRNA structure is mediated by ligand binding, and this results in modulation of gene expression.
Source: RNAcentral
GAACAAGAUAGAGGCGCAAGUUGCAAUAGUAGACUUUCUGGAGGAUGGACAAUACCGUUGAAGGGGAGGGAAAGGGUAACUUGCCGAAGUGAUAAAUCCAUUGUCUCGGUUUAUUUGCUGGUUUUGCAUUGAAGAAAUGCAAGAUUGUCAGAAUCAGAUUAGGAUUCUGGAGGGCUAUCUAAACG